This 422-nucleotide ribosomal RNA is filed under the name uncultured bacterium. RNAcentral's name for it is "bacterial SSU rRNA". It matches the Rfam family "Bacterial small subunit ribosomal RNA", at positions 355 to 774 of the family's 1533-position model. The record is from RNAcentral.
UAAGGAAUAUUGGACAAUGGAGGCAACUCUGAUCCAGCCAUGCCGCGUGAAGGAAUAAGGCCCUAUGGGUUGUAAACUUCUUUUAGACGGGACAAAACCCCUUUACGUGUAAAGGGUUGAUGGUACUGUCAGAAUAAGCAUCGGCUAACUUCGUGCCAGCAGCCGCGGUAAUACGAAGGGUGCAAGCGUUACUCGGAAUUACUGGGCGUAAAGCGUGCGUAGGUGGUUCGUUAAGUCUGAUGUGAAAGCCCUGGGCUCAACCUGGGAAUGGCAUUGGAAACUGGCGGACUGGAGUGCGGUAGAGGGUAGCGGAAUUCCCGGUGUAGCAGUGAAAUGCGUAGAGAUCGGGAGGAACAUCCGUGGCGAAGGCGGCUACCUGGACCAGCACUGACACUGAGGCACGAAAGCGUGGGGAGCAAACA